UCCUCUGAAGAUGAUCAAAAAUAUAACUUUCGUCUUCUGAGAUUAACCAUGCGGAAAGUUAUGGAGACCUGAACUGAAGAGAC
This 83-nucleotide small nucleolar RNA is filed under the name Nicotiana attenuata. RNAcentral describes it as "snoRNA snoZ159". It matches the Rfam family "Small nucleolar RNA Z159/U59". Rfam says of the family: This family consists of several snoRNA Z159 or U59 sequences which are members of the C/D class of snoRNA which contain the C (UGAUGA) and D (CUGA) box motifs. Lineage: Eukaryota; Viridiplantae; Streptophyta; Magnoliopsida; Solanales; Solanaceae. The record is from Rfam by way of RNAcentral.